CUCGGGGUCCUGGCAGGCUGCUGAUGGGGAUACCCGAUGCUGUUGGGGAGGGUGUGGGGGAGGGACAGAGGAAAGCUGACACUAUCAGAUUAGUUAAACAGCUGUGCCGGUUGCUGUCGACACAGCAGGCCUCUGAGGGACCAAGUCCACUGAGGACUGGAAGUCUGACAAACCAGCCGUUCCCUCCUGAGUGCAGGCCGGAGACACGAACCCAAAGAUAAGACAUAGUCAAGAAAAAUUUUGUGUGUCUUUGGCCAUAUUCAUCAAAGCAUCAAAGGUUAUUCAAAAAAAAAAAACUACUUGGAUGAAGCAGAACCUUUUCUAAGGAAAAUCCGCCAACCUCCGCAGUGCUUUUGGAAUCACUCAAGGCCGAAAGACUCUCCCUCCGAGCAACAGUUGAGCGAAAGCUCCUCGGCUAAAGGAGCCACCGCUGAAAAAGUCCCACCGGGCGACGAGCUCCAGGCUGAAAGCACUGCCGCAACUUCUGCCAGCAGAAACGCUCCACUUCCAAACUCGACAACACUCCCCGUACACUACGCUCUUGCACAUUUACCGGGAGAGAACAGGUGCGAAUUCUCCAAAGAGCCAUUCUGUUUAUCCUGCAAGCAAAUUUGUUUGUAUUCGUGCCUUGGUGCUGGCAGUGAGCAAGAGUUAAACGUAAGAGCUUCCCAAGCAGAAAAAUAAAUCCAGCAAAUAUUUGAAUUCGACGUUCUGAAUUUGUAUUGCUACAGAGGUUUGACUUGUUCCUAAGUUUAAAAAAAAAAAAAAAAAAUCCAUUAAUUAAUCAAAUAACAUCAGUG
Molecule: long non-coding RNA, 800 nt
Filed under: Scleropages formosus (Asian bonytongue)
Lineage: Eukaryota; Metazoa; Chordata; Actinopteri; Osteoglossiformes; Osteoglossidae
Description: lncRNA (ENSSFOG00015028872.1)
Source: RNAcentral